Long non-coding RNA from Hyaena hyaena (striped hyena), 1458 nucleotides. RefSeq lists it as uncharacterized. NCBI's taxonomy places the organism in Eukaryota, Metazoa, Chordata, Mammalia, Carnivora, Hyaenidae. The transcript has 6 exons. The record is from RefSeq and is a predicted model, not a curated record.
AGAGAUAUUUUCCUGACUGUCUAACUACUGACCAAGAUAACUUCAGACCCACCGUAAGUAGGAUUUGAUCAAUGGAGGGAGACAUGUGCUGGAGAUUUGAAGGUGGGAGGAAAGUGAGACUCUCUCAUCUUAAUCAAGUCCUUUAACCCUUUUGGCCUUGGGGUAUCCUGUUGAAGGAUAUGUGCACGUUCAGUCUGUUCUCUGGCUGGGGCCCUGUUAACAGGACUGACAUACAGAUUUAUUUAAAGUUUUAUGCAACACAGGAGACUUCAUGAGGAGAUGAAUACCUGAUGAAACUUGAGUAUUUUUAUACUAAGUUUGAUGAAAAGUGGAAAGUCAUAGGAAAAUCAACAAAAAGGUCUUAUAAGUUAAAUAGUCAUCCAUCCCUCCUGGAUAUCAUUCAAGUUUGACACCUAGAUAACUUAGAAACCUGUGAAGAAAAAGUGGUAUGAUGGAGUUAACCCUUGAAUUGGUCUUCUGCAGCAUGCAAAAUAAGAAAAAGAAGAAGAGGAAAAAGAAGAAGAAGAAGAAGAAGAAGCAGAAGCAGCAGAAGCAGCAGAAGCAGCAGCAGCAGCAGCAGCAGCAGCAGAAAGCACUCAAAAUUCUCUGUGUUUCAUCUUUGGGAACAAACUCUUGGAAGAAAAUCCAUCAAUGACAGUUAUUGAUUAUUUUCUAUGUUGAAAGCUAUUCAAUUUUUUCUGGAGCUUUUUAUGUUAUGAAUAUACAAAGAGGCACCAUAUAGAUUUUCCAUACUCAAAACGUUCAUGAGCUUGCUGGAAAUUCUCUUUUCUUUUCUCAUUUUUUCCAUAAAUGUAGCAGAGAGACUGUUUCCAGGACUUUCCAAGUAGUGUAAAGUCAUUUAACAUUCAGUAACAAAUAUUUUAUUGAAAAUCUAUUAUGAGUCAGAUAUUGUUCUGGACUUAAGAGAUACAACAGUGACCACAAGUGUGAAAAACAUCUGCCUUUAUGGAACUUCUAUUAUCAUAGAAAGAAAAUGAUUUGUUUAAAAGUAGCAGAGAAGACUAGAAACACAAAUUAACCAAAGAGAUGAUUAAAGGGAGAAUUAUGGCUAUCAAAUAAGAAAAGGAAUAUUAACAAAAACUUUGAUUUAAAAUUUGACAAGCCAAAACCAUUGGGACCCACCCCUUUCCUCUGCAUUGCACAUUUUCUUUUGUGCACAGAAUAGCUCUGAAAGCCUUUGUAUAAGAUCAUUUGAAUGAUAACUUUCUUGUUUUCCUUUCUGACCCUAUAAGUUGACUUAGAAAAUUAUUUUCACUAUUUCUCUGUUAGAAAUCAAUCUCUCUGAUUUGUACAAUAUAGGUAUGCAAUUUUGUAAAUAAUUUAAAUGCAAUUUUAUAAAACCCUAGUGAACAUAAGCUUAUGAGUCAAACUUAGAAGGUAGCUUUCACUGUGGUUCCCAUGAUGUGAUAGAUUUAAAAAAAAAAAACUGCAACAAAA